RNAcentral lists this ribosomal RNA (460 nucleotides) under uncultured Gaiellales bacterium. RNAcentral describes it as "bacterial SSU rRNA". It matches the Rfam family "Bacterial small subunit ribosomal RNA", at positions 342 to 795 of the family's 1533-position model. The record is from RNAcentral. Lineage: Bacteria; Bacillati; Actinomycetota; Thermoleophilia; Gaiellales.
CGGGUGGCUGCAGUGGGGAAUCUUGCGCAAUGGGCGAAAGCCUGACGCAGCAACGCCGCGUGGAGGAAGAAGGCCUUAGGGUUGUAAACUCCUGUCAGGGGGAAAGAAGGCACCUGGGUUAAUAGCCCAAGGGCUGACGGUACCCCCAAAGGAAGCCACGGCUAACUACGUGCCAGCAGCCGCGGUAAUACGUAGGUGGCGAGCGUUGUCCGGAAUCAUUGGGCGUAAAGAGCGCGUAGGCGGCCUGUCAGGUCUGAUGUGAAAUCUCGGGGCUCAACCCCGAGCGUGCAUCGGAAACCGGCUGGCUAGAGUCUGGGAGAGGAGAGUGGAAUUCCUGGUGUAGCGGUGAAAUGCGUAGAUAUCAGGAGGAACACCAGUAGCGAAGGCGGCUCUCUGGAACAGUACUGACGCUGAGGCGCGAAAGCUAGGGGAGCAAACAGGAUUAGAUACCCUUGUAGUC